This is a non-coding RNA of Oryza brachyantha (malo sina), 116 nucleotides long. NCBI's taxonomy places the organism in Eukaryota, Viridiplantae, Streptophyta, Magnoliopsida, Poales, Poaceae. The record is from Rfam.
AGGUUUCAUUUGAAGGAAGGAUGUCUACCCAAUACAAACUUCCUAAAGUAAAAUUUCCAUUUCCUGUUCGUGGUGUUGUUGGUAUGUUCGUUGAGCCUCUAAUGACUAGAACCACA